Panicum hallii is the source of this 152-nucleotide small nucleolar RNA. RefSeq annotates it as small nucleolar RNA snoR2/U65. NCBI's taxonomy places the organism in Eukaryota, Viridiplantae, Streptophyta, Magnoliopsida, Poales, Poaceae. The transcript has a single exon. The record is from RefSeq and is a predicted model, not a curated record.
GGCCUGAUGCCACGUCUCCGGUAGCCAAAGAGCAUUGAUCGGAGAUGCUUUGAUUAGGCCAAAACAAAGUUGUUUCAACAUUUCACAUGUUGAUAGGAACCUGGGGAUUGCAUCUCUAUCUGUCCACAGAGCCGGUUUCUGUGAUUACAUUU